RNAcentral lists this unclassified non-coding RNA (231 nucleotides) under Phaeococcomyces mexicanus. RNAcentral's name for it is "partial internal transcribed spacer region". The stretch from base 1 to 47 matches the Rfam family "Eukaryotic small subunit ribosomal RNA", at positions 1785 to 1831 of the family's 1831-position model. The record is from RNAcentral. Lineage: Eukaryota; Fungi; Ascomycota; Arthoniomycetes; Lichenostigmatales; Phaeococcomycetaceae.
AAAGUCGUAACAAGGUCUCCGUAGGUGAACCUGCGGAGGGAUCAUUAACGAGACUGGGUGCUUCGGCGCCCGACCUCCAACCCUUUGUCUACCUUACCACUGUUGCCUCGGCGCACGCGGGAGCGAUCCUGCGGCGCCGGUGGCCAAAAACACUAAACCCUUUUUGAACCCGGUUUUCUGAGAAAUUAUUUAAUAACUUCAAAACUUUCAACAACGGAUCUCUUGGUUCUG